CGCGCGGCAGGCCCCGGCCUUUCCGCGCCCCUGAGGAGCGGGCGCGGUGGCGGCGCCGCCCCGGGCCUCGGCGGGGAGGGGACCGUGCGGCUGUGGGACCCGCUUUCGGCGGGGCUGCCGCUGUGCGCUGGCUCCUGGGCCUGUGAGCCGCCCCGUGCGUGCCUCGGCCUCCGCCCUGGGAGCGGUAGCUCGGGGCGCCGCGCCCCGUCGGCCGCGGCGCAGCGCUGGGUGGCGCCCGGGCCUGGCCGAGCCGCCCGGCCUCCGGCUCGGCGCCGCUGCCCCCUCGCAGCAGCCCCUCGGCCCAAGCACGCGCUCGCCUACACAGUAGAGCAGCAAGUGAAAUUAAGAGAUGAGUUUGUUACGGGCUCUGGGAGUCAUCAGUCUGGAGUCUGCCAUGCUGUUUCCCUGCCAGUGGAAAGACGUCACGUGAAUUCUGGAGCUUACAGAAAUGAAGCAAGGAGAAAUACAAUUGCAUGUAAGGUCAAGAGGUUGAAAUUCUAACAAGAGGUAUUACGACAGCUAUAAAACCUCACAAGACUUGCUCCCCAGAACAAAGCAGCAGCAAUCCAUGGAUCCUGAAGGAAUUGGAGGGGAGAGGUGCUAUGUCAUCAGUCAACCUUCUCCACUGUCCUCGAGCCUUAUGUAUGCACAUGCAGCCAACAGCAGACUCCAUCCACUUGUAGAAGUGUGGGUGUUUGAGAAGCUUGAAAACAGCAGCCUGAAAUGUGGAGUUCGCAUGCACUUGGAAAUGUUUUCGUGGCCCUUCCUGUUCCUCAAAUACUACUUGAUUUGAUGGCUGACCACGAGAUGGCAGAAUUUCCUCCUGCACGUUCCAAGGCAGAGCCGCUGGGCCGGGCUUUGAGCAGCAGCAGCAGCAAGGCAGUGCCGCUCCUGCCUGGCGUAGAAACGACAGAGGAUCUGGAUAUUCAUUAUUCGAGAUUUUCUUCUACAAAGCGUCCUUUGUCCUCUGUGUAGAUGACCAAUAUGAAAUGCCACUUAAAUCUUCAAUAAUGGAUUUGGCUACCUAGUAAAGGAUAAGACACAGAAUUUUUGGGCUGAUGAGGAAGCAAAGCUCAUAGCAUAUGGAAGAUCCCCCUGUAGGAGUUCAGAGAACUGGGUUCGGGAGGACAAACACGUUGAUCAACAUCUGAGAGAGAAGUAACCGCAUACCAGUGCAGCUCUAGUGUAAGCCCUGUCUGAGAAUUGUAUGCUCUGGGCUGGUGGUGGUUAGUGGUCUGAAGUAUCAAGUUUUAAGCAGAAGUUGAAAGAUAAUUUAAA
This is a long non-coding RNA of Tyto alba (common barn owl), 1278 nucleotides long. RefSeq lists it as uncharacterized. The transcript is spliced from 7 exons. The record is from RefSeq and is a predicted model, not a curated record. Lineage: Eukaryota; Metazoa; Chordata; Aves; Strigiformes; Tytonidae.